UACGUAGGUGGCAAGCGUUGUCCGGAAUUAUUGGGCGUAAAGCGCGCGCAGGCGGCCUUUUAAGUCUGAUGUGAAAGCCCACGGCUCAACCGUGGAAGGUCAUUGGAAACUGAAAGGCUUGAGUACAGAAGAGAAGAGCGGAAUUCCACGUGUAGCGGUGAAAUGCGUAGAGAUGUGGAGGAACACCAGUGGCGAAGGCGGGUCUCUGGGCCGAUACUGACGCUGAGGAGCGAAAGCGUGGGGAGCAAACAGG
This 253-nucleotide ribosomal RNA is filed under the name uncultured bacterium. RNAcentral describes it as "partial 16S ribosomal RNA". It matches the Rfam family "Bacterial small subunit ribosomal RNA", at positions 524 to 776 of the family's 1533-position model. The record is from RNAcentral.